This is a long non-coding RNA of Astatotilapia calliptera (eastern happy), 2133 nucleotides long. Lineage: Eukaryota; Metazoa; Chordata; Actinopteri; Cichliformes; Cichlidae. The record is from Ensembl.
GUGCAUGUCUGUGUACGUGUGUAUGGAGCCAUUGGGUGCGGUCACUAUAGCAACCAGGCUCACACCUGCCUGCUUAACGAGCUCUGCCUGCCACUGUACCAAGAUUCAUCUUAAGCACUUCUCUUUCAACUGCUGCUGUGUCCACAGUGUUAAAGCCAUCAUUUUACCCUCAAAACGUCGCCAUCGUUGUUCUUUUUCCAACAUCUUGUCUUUCAAAGCUCAGAGAUGUAAACUUUUUAAACUGUGUGGGUCCAAGUGGAGGGAUCACAUUUGAGUCAUUCAGUGAUUCAAAGAAUAUGACCUUUUAAUAUUCAUUCAGAUGUUUUCUGACUCUAAAUGUUCUUUUCUCAUUUCUUAGGGUUUUCUAAUUUAUAUUUAAAACAUUUUCAGUUUUUUUCCAACUCCUUCUUCUGUGUAACCUUCAGCUUUUAGCAGUUCAGCACCUUUGUUUUCAGGUUAAAUUCGUUUUUUUUUUUUGUUUUUUUUAAUCUCAUUCAAUAUUUUUAACUCAAAAUUCAGCAAUUAAUUCAUUUCAGUGCAUACAUUCAGAUUCAAGCAUUCACACUGCAGUUUCUUCAGAAAAUGCACUUUCUAGUUAGUGUGAAUGCUUGAAAAGCAUUCACAGUAUUGUUAUUCUAAUCUUUAUUAUUAUUAUAUUUUAUUUUUCCGUACGUUUUUUGAAAGCCUACUCCUUCAAAACCGUUCAACUUAGAAAAACCAUUCAAACAUCGUUAGAUUCCUAUUAUUUUGGACAACAUUGCUUCUAUUUUUCUCAUUUUUAACAUUUAUAUUUUUAAUUUUAUUCAACUUUAUUCAACAAAAAUUUCCCAUGUAUUUCAAUGGGGAGACCCUUCAAAUUCUCAUUCAACUUACUCAUUUUUAAACUCUUACUACUUCCACAUACAUUGACAUAGAGCCACCAUUCAAACUUUAAAACGAAGACAAGACAUUCAACUAUUCAACUUGUAUUUAUCUUUUCAAUAUCUAUUAUACUUUUUCUUCAGUUCCAGUUUAAGUUUCAUGAUGUUUUUUCACCCGUUUCAAAAUUUAUAAUGGGUGUGUAUGGGACGGAAUGUUGGGGCUAGAGUGAGACAGCUCAACUGCUAGAGUGAGAGGAGCAAAAAAAUUAAUCUUAAAAUCUUUUUUAAAACUGCUGCUGUGUCCGCAGCGUUUGCUCUACAGGUAUGAUUUUACCCUCAAAACGUAGCCAUGGCUGUCCUCUUUCAUCCAAUGUGUUUACUAUUGUACUAGGUGUUAUGGUUCUUUCAUAAAUGUCACCAAUGCACAGCCUCCUCCCUCCAACUCUUCCAUAGACUCUAAUGUUAAAAUGGCUCAGAAGGUUGGUUUGAAAAUCAGAAGAGCAUGGUGUCUUUCCACUGUCACCAUGUCCAUAUAAUAAACUCCACAGGCAUGAAAACUGAGAAUUCAGUAGACUAGAAGCUGCUGUCGCUCACGGUGAAAUAAUUUUGUCAAUACGACUUUUACUUUUCAUUUGGGAACGAUUUGUUUCGGCCUGACUUUUCUGUUCAUUUUAAGCAGCAAAAGUGAGGCGCAUGUCUGUGUACGUGUGUAUGGAGCCAUUGGGUGCGGUCACUAUAGCAACCAGGCUCACACCUGCCUGCUUAACGAGCUCUCUCUCUCACUGUACCAAGAUUCAUCUUAAGCACUUCUCUUUCAACUGCUGCUGUGUCCACAGUGUUACAGCCAUCAUUUUACCCUCAAAUUGUCGCCAUUAUUGUUCUCUUUCCAACACCGUGUCUUUCAAAGCUCAGGCAUUUAAACUUUUUAAACUGUGUGGAUCAAAGUGGAGGGAUCACAUUUUCUUCAUUCAGUGAUUCAAAGAAUAUGACCUUUUAAUAUUCAUUCAGAUGUUUUCUGACUCUAAAUGUUCUUUUCUCAUUUCUUAGGGUUUUCUAAUUUACAUUUAAAGCAUUUUCAGCUUUUUUCCAACUUCUUCUUCUGUGUAACCUUCAGCUUUUAGCAGUUCAGCACCUUUGUUUUCAGGUUAAAUUUGAUUUUUUGAUUUUUUUUUUAAUUUCAUUCAAUAUUUUUAACUCAAAAUUCAGCAAUUAAUUCAUUUCAGUGCAUACAUUCAGAUUCAAGCAUUCACACUGCAGUUUCUUCAGAAAAUGC